CGCUGGCGGCAAGCCUAACACAUGCAAGUCGAACGGACAAUUAUUUAUAGCCUCUGGCUAUAGGAAAUUGUUAGUGGCAGACGGGUGAGUAAUGCGUAGGAAUCUACCUAGUAGUACGGAAUAGCCAUUAGAAAUGGUGGGUAAUACUGUAUAAUCCCCGAGGGGGAAAGAUUUAUCGCUAUUAGAUGAGCCUACGUUAGAUUAGCUAGUUGGUGAGGUAAUGGCUUACCAAGGCUAUGAUCUAUAGCUGGUCUGAGAGGACGAUCAGCCACACUGGAACUGAGAUACGGUCCAGACUCCUACGGGAGGCAGCAGUGGGGAAUAUUGGACAAUGGGCGAAAGCCUGAUCCAGCUAUGCCGCGUGAGUGAAGAAGGCCUUCGGGUUGUAAAACUCUUUCAAUAGGGAAGAUAAUGACGGUACCUAUAGAAGAAGUCCCGGCAAACUCUGUGCCAGCAGCCG
RNAcentral lists this ribosomal RNA (460 nucleotides) under Ehrlichia canis. RNAcentral's name for it is "bacterial SSU rRNA". It matches the Rfam family "Bacterial small subunit ribosomal RNA", at positions 34 to 517 of the family's 1533-position model. Lineage: Bacteria; Pseudomonadati; Pseudomonadota; Alphaproteobacteria; Rickettsiales; Anaplasmataceae. The record is from RNAcentral.